Molecule: RNA transcript, 2016 nt
Organism: Drosophila mojavensis
Lineage: Eukaryota; Metazoa; Arthropoda; Insecta; Diptera; Drosophilidae
Exons: 4
Source: RefSeq, a predicted model, not a curated record
GUUUGUAUUUCAUUCAUUCAGUGUAUUUAUGCUGGCGAACGAGAAUGAUACUGAAUUAUCGUAGUGCUUUUCUAGCUAACUGUGAUAAAUAAUACCGAAGAAAUGAUGAAGACUGAUGAAGAACAACUAACGGAUACCAAUACUGAUAAGACAGAAACAACUGUAGCUUUAGUGACGUCAAAAGUCAAAGUGUUGUCCAUUGGAAAUCAGGAAGAAUACUUGAAGCCAGAAAAGCCGAUGGAAACGGAAUUUGAUAAACAAAUCUUUUAUGAUGAAUGUAGGAAGCAUUUUGGUCAACUCUUAUUGGGUAGUAAAACGCCCCUUGCGUCCAAUAAUUGGUUUGUAAUGGAUUUGUUCGAAAUGAAAACAAUUGAGGAAGACGAUCAACCCAGACGAUAUCAGUUUGAGUGUAAUAUUGGUGGUUCCCCGGGUAAGUAUGUGGAGCAUGGCGUAUUCGGCCAGACCCUGUAUGCCGACGAAGUAAUGCACGAAUUGAGAAGCCGCCUGAAGGACAAAAAGUGGAUAUCGAAGAAUACAUUGGUAUUGCCAAGGAGAACGGAUCUUACUCGGUCGACCUAUCGCUUUGCAGACGAAUAUUACAUUCACAAUAUGAUUGUUGGCAUCAUCCAAGAACAGAAAUUCAAAAUAUUUAAGUUUUUGCUAUAUUUACACCAAGAAUAUGUACGUGAAAGGCAUAAGAAUAGAUUUUAAGAACCGUAAAAUUAUUUUCUAUAUAAGCAUUUCCAUCCAAUAGUAUAUGCUCUUUGUAAGAUAUAUUAUAUAAAAAGAAAUAUAACUGUAUUGAAAACGAUGCAUAAUGCCAAGAUAAUGGAUGAAACUAAAACUGAAUCAAUUAUGGACAACAAUAAUGACUGUAGCUUUGUUAGCAUCAGAAGUGAAAGUGUUAUCCAUCGGAAAUCAGGAAGAACACUUUAAGCCAAAGAAGCCCUUAAUAGAAUUCGAUAAACAAGUUUUUUUUGGAUGACUGUAGAAAGCAUUUUGGUCAACUCUUAUUGGGAAAUCGAGCACCUUCUGGCUCCGGCCAAUACAAACGUUAAAAUGGAUUUGUUUGAAGUGACAACUAUUGAACAAGAUAAAUUUAAAGACAAUUGCAUACAAUAUGAUACUCUGUUCGUAGAUAUAUAUGAACAAUUUAGUAUUAAAUUUAUUUUCUGGGCUUAAAGUAAAAAAUGUUGAACUUGAACUUAAUUUGAGAAAUCGCAGAGUAGAUAUUAGAAUGUAUAUAUGUAUGUACAAAGGUAUCUCUUUCAAAAGCUGUAAUUGAGCUUUCUAAGCUUUCUUAUGAAAUCAUAUAUUCUGCGGCAAAUUUAGUAUAUAAAUACAGCACAAAGUAUAAAGACCUGUUGUCAACCUCUGUGUUCAUUUUCAACAAAUAUAGUCUAAGGAUUAAAAAUAUAUAUAUAUUAAUUAUUAUAUCUAAAUUAAAAGUACAAAUGGAUGAAACAAUGAAUUCAACGAUAUUAGCUAUAGGAGAUAAGUCGGAGGCCUUAGAACAUGAAGGGGCUAAAAUGAAAAAUAACAUACGAAAUUUGAAUGCCGACUAUAAAGAUUAUUUAAGGCAACUCUUAAUGAUAAAUCCAAUACCUAAAGACAUGGCAGAUGGCGAGUAUCCAAUUGAAUGGUUUGGCAUGGAAACCAUUAGGAGGGAAAAUCAACCCAAUCUUUAUAAAUUUUACUGUUUCCCCGCAAAGAAAACUCAUCCCACGAAUACCAAUUUAUAUUUCUUCAAUCAGACAAUUAAUGCAUAUGCCCUAUUGCGGGAGGUUAGAGCAAUCCUUAAGAAUGAACAUUGGCUGUCAAAAUAUGUGCUAACUGGACCUUUGAAAGCCAAUUUAGAUGGUUGGGGCUAUAGUCCCGAGGAAAAUUAUAUUCGGAACGCAGUUUAUAGGGCAUAUCAAGCCGAAAGUCGUAGACGAUGGCAGGCCAUAUUUCCCUAUGUGCUCUAUUUACACAGGCAGCAUGUAAAAAAUAAAUAAAUGAGCUACGAGCCACUCA